GGCCCUACGGGGCGCAGCAGGCGCGAAAACUUUACAAUGCGGGCAACCGUGAUAAGGGAACCUCGAGUGCCUGUAUAUGCAGGCUGUCUGGGUGUCUAAAACACACCCAAAGAAAGGGCCGGGCAAGACCGGUGCCAGCCGCCGCGGUAAUACCGGCGGCUCGAGUGGUGGCCACUUUUAUUGGGCUUAAAGCGUUCGUAGCUGGGUUAUUAAGUCCCUUGGGAAAUCCGACAGCUUAACUGUCGGGCGUCUAAGAGAUACUGGUAAUCUUGGAACCGGGAGAGGUGAGGGGUACUUCGGGGGUAGGAGUGAA
This 313-nucleotide ribosomal RNA is filed under the name uncultured archaeon. Its description in RNAcentral is "bacterial SSU rRNA". It matches the Rfam family "Archaeal small subunit ribosomal RNA", at positions 319 to 636 of the family's 1478-position model. The record is from RNAcentral.